This is a long non-coding RNA of Thunnus maccoyii (southern bluefin tuna), 2274 nucleotides long. RefSeq lists it as uncharacterized. The record is from RefSeq and is a predicted model, not a curated record. NCBI's taxonomy places the organism in Eukaryota, Metazoa, Chordata, Actinopteri, Scombriformes, Scombridae. The transcript is spliced from 3 exons.
UGUGGUGUUUUGCUGUUUUAACCAAUCAAACAUCUCUGCUUCAAUUCAAGUACUUUUUCUUUUUCUUCUCUUUUUUAACUGAAUGAUAUAUAACCCUUCCGAUCACUAAUUGCCUGGAAAUGGACAAAGCUUUAAAUUGCAUAUAAGGGAAGUGAUGGUAAACAAUAUGUUUUUUCAUAGAAAGAUGAAUUAAAAUGGACUACCUCCUAAUUUAGUUAGAUUUUAUGCACUUAAGUUCUCUAACAAAAGACAUAUUUUGGCACACAUUUCCCAAAUUGAAGGGCGCCUUUGUGAUAUAUAAUGGAUUAUAGCCUCUUCUGUUACCUUUACAAUGGUAACUUAGUAAACUUACAUUUAAAUUACUAGACAAGGAAAAAAGCAUCCAAAGUCAGAGGCUGCUGGAUUAAGAAGGUAGAGCAAUUUAUCACAGGAUAUCUAAUAAUAACAAGCCUGUUUAAAAAAACAACAACAAUUCAUUUAAUUAUAUUUUUGUGUGCAUUUUAAUAAUUAACACUAUUUUGGUUUAAACAACACAUUUACCUGCUUAAAUAAAUGGCUUGAACUGGAAAUUAUAAUCGUAACCCAUAGUUCAAUACAGCAUGUGUAGUACAUUUGUACCUGUGUGGUAUUUGUGCAAUGUUAUUUUAAUAACUAAAAGUGUUAUACAUAAAGAAUGCCCCUGUAUUCUGGGCAAAAUAAUAAAUAUGGAGCAAAAAAAAUGUAGCUUUGAUUAAAAAAUACUAUUCAUAUUGCAUACAAUUACUUUUAAGCACUUUUCAAUGAUUUGACACAAAUGUAUCUCUCUCUUGACCAAGGCUGCCUGUUUACAUUUGAAAAUCCAAAUUAUCUUUAUAAAUACUGUACAUCCUCCUCUCUGGUGGUUAAGGCUGUUUAAUUUCAAACAGUUAAUAGAAAAUGUAUGAGCGGUUUCAGGCAUGCAGCUGGGUUAAAGAGUAAUAAAAGCAGCUUGGGUAUUGAAGAGGCUGAUGAAGGAAGUCUCUUUGAAAGGGAGGGGCUGGACCACUGGACUGCUUUCUAUUGUUGACCAUCUAGCCACACCCACUACAAAGCACUGAGAGGGGCCCAGACAAAAAACACUUGAACUUUUAACUGGUUAUGGGGCAGUCUCAUUAUGCCUCUGAUGCCUCUAUAUGAUCUACACAAGCAAAUGAGACCAUCAGCGAGAAGGUUGGCUAUUUCUAUAUAGUUAUUCUAAAUGGGUGAGAUUCCCUGCAAAAUCAGAUUAAACAAUUUAUGGCAGCCAGCGCCACAGACAGUUCAUUUUCCUCACCCCACAGAACAUGAGUUCUCUUCCAAUGAGUCAAUUAAUCCACAUCCUCCGUCUCAACGAUCCAGACCGUGGCAACAAAACACAAAGAAAUCAAGACGAGGAUCAGUAGUAUUACUUGCUACGAGACCACUAGCAGGUGCUGAGACUCCAUGACAGCAGGACAGGCCACAGCGGGGCGAGACAGAGCUUCCCAUCAGAGUGGGAAACAGUGUGCCGGCGUGAGUUGCUGUUGAAUCAGAGGUGGGCAAUAGAAAGACUAAGGCUUCGACAGAGAACACAGGCUUUUUCCUGUUCUUCUUCUCCCAGCAUUAAUGGCUGGAGCAUUCCUAUUACCUGCUCUGAGCCCUGAAGAUGGGAUUCCUGUGGUGCCGGCCGGGAGCUGCUCUGCUGCGCUGCAUUGUGAUGAGUUCUCCACUGAUGUUUUCCUGCUCUCGCUCCUCUCAACUCUGCCAGUUCUACUUUUCUCUCCCGCCUGUCUUCAACCACGGUGUAGUCGCUUUCUCAAUAUGUCUAGUACUUUUCUGCUUCUUUUUUCUAUGCUCUUGCUGAAUUUUUGUGCACUCUUUUGGUACGGUCUCUUCCUUUAUGAGUGUGUGCGCACAUUUUUUUUUACUACGUUGCAUCUGUUCUCAUUAUUCCUGUAUGACCAAACUACUACUAAGGAUGUGAAUUGAAAAAAUAUCAUCAACUACAGUCAAAACUGACAACUUGGUAACUAUACAUUUCCAGGUGUGCUGUUAAAAAAUUAUCAGGUUAUAAGGUGUCACCUUCUUAUCUGGCCAAGUCAAAAUAUAAUGCUAGAGCUGUAAUUCCCUUUACACAAUUUUUUCCCUGACCUUUUGUAUUCUCCUUUCCUUCAACCAAACUCAAACGUGCUUUUACAAAGGGCUUAUUCAGUGCAUGUUUUUUGCAUGAAAAAGCCAUAUUUAAACAUUCCUUAAUACAGGGAUAAAAAUUCAUUACCUGUGAGAAUUGUGUAUUGU